GGUCACGUUCAUACCCAUUAGGGUCAUAUCAGUACCCAUUCCGAACACUGCAAUCAAGCCUAAUGGGGUUAACGCAAGUAGUGCCGUCACCAAGCGGCGUGAAACGUUAAAAUGUGACCU
Molecule: ribosomal RNA, 120 nt
Filed under: Promethearchaeota archaeon
Lineage: Archaea; Promethearchaeati; Promethearchaeota
Source: RNAcentral